GACGAACGCUGGCGGCGUGCUUAACACAUGCAAGUCGAACGGAAAGGCCCUGCUUUUGUGGGGUGCUCGAGUGGCGCACGGGUGAGUAACACGUGAGUAACCUGCCCUUGACUUUGGGAUAACUUCAGGAAACUGCGGCUAAUACCGGAUAGGAUCUCCUGCUGCAUGGUGGUCGUUGGAAAGUUUCGGCGGUUGGGUAUGGACUCGCGGCUUCUCAGCUUCUUGGUGGGGUAGUGGCUUACCAAGGCUUCGACGGGUAGCCGGCCUGGGAGGGAGACCGGCCACAUUGGGACGGAGAGACGGGCCAGACGCAUACGGGAGGCAGGAGUGGGGAAUAGAGCACGAUGGGCGGAAGCCGGAUGGAGGAACGCCGGGUGCGGGAUGACGGCCUUCGGGUGGUAAACCGCUUGCGCCUGUGACGAAGCGUGAGUGAGGGUAAUGGGUAAAGAAGCACCGGCUAAUUACGU
Molecule: ribosomal RNA, 467 nt
Filed under: uncultured bacterium
Lineage: Bacteria
Description: partial 16S ribosomal RNA
Rfam family: Bacterial small subunit ribosomal RNA
Source: RNAcentral